Molecule: ribosomal RNA, 254 nt
Filed under: uncultured bacterium
Lineage: Bacteria
Description: partial 16S ribosomal RNA
Rfam family: Bacterial small subunit ribosomal RNA
Source: RNAcentral
UACGUAGGGGGCGAGCGUUGUCCGGAUUCAUUGGGCGUAAAGAGCUCGUAGGCGGUUCGGUAAGUCAGGUGUGAAAACUCCAGGCUCAACUUGGAGACGCCACCUGAUACUGUCGUGACUAGGGUCCGGUAGGGGAGCAUGGAAUUCCUGGUGUAGCGGUGAAAUGCGCAGAUAUCAGGAGGAACACCAGCGGCGAAGGCGGUGCUCUGGGCCGGAACUGACGCUGAGGAGCGAAAGCGUGGGGAGCGAACAGG